RNAcentral lists this ribosomal RNA (467 nucleotides) under uncultured bacterium. RNAcentral describes it as "partial 16S ribosomal RNA". It matches the Rfam family "Bacterial small subunit ribosomal RNA", at positions 28 to 507 of the family's 1533-position model. The record is from RNAcentral.
GACGAACGCUGGCGGCGUGCUUAACACAUGCAAGUCGAACGGAAAGGCCUCUUUCGGGUGGUACUCGAGUGGCGAACGGGGGAGUAACACGUGAGUAACCUGCCCCUUACUUUGGGAUAACUUCAGAAAACUGGGGCUAAUAUCGGAUAUGGGCUCCCGCGGCACGUGGGGGGGUGGAAAGUGUCGGGGGGUGGGGGUGGGAUCGCGGCUUAUCAGCUUUUUGGGGGGGUAGGGGGUUACCAAGGGUUUUUCGGGGAGCCGGGCUGGGAGGGUGACCCGGCAAAAUGGGGCUGGGAUACGGCCCAGACUCCUACGGGAGGCAGGAGGGGGGAAUAUUGCAAAAUGGGUGGAAGCCUGAUGCAGCAACGCCGGGUGCGGGAUGGCGGCCUUCGGGUUGUAAACCGCUUUCGCUCAUGACGAAGCUGUGUGUGACGGUAGUGGGUAAAGAAGCACCGGCUAACUACGUG